Molecule: transfer RNA, 72 nt
Filed under: Bos taurus (domestic cattle)
Lineage: Eukaryota; Metazoa; Chordata; Mammalia; Artiodactyla; Bovidae
Also listed under: 5 other names
Rfam family: tRNA
About the family: Transfer RNA (tRNA) molecules are approximately 80 nucleotides in length.
Source: Rfam by way of RNAcentral
UCCCUAGUAGCUCAGAAGGUAAGGAAUCUGCCUCAAAUGUAGGAGAUCCAGGUUCAAUACCUGGGUUGGGAA